This 217-nucleotide unclassified non-coding RNA is filed under the name uncultured Tomentella. RNAcentral describes it as "sequence contains ITS2". The record is from RNAcentral. Lineage: Eukaryota; Fungi; Basidiomycota; Agaricomycetes; Thelephorales; Thelephoraceae.
ACACCUCAACUCCCAUGGCUUGCCAUGAUGAGCUUGGACUCUGGGGGUCUUGCCGGCUGUGUAGUCGGCUCCUCUCAAAUGAAUCAGCUUACCAGUGUUUGGUGGCAUCACAGGUGUGAUAACUAUCUACGCUUGCGGUUUUCCACCAGGUAACCUUCAGUGAUGGAGGUUCGCUGGAGCUCACAAAUGUCUCUCCUUGCGAGGACGAUUUCUGAAC